CCCUUAGAUGUUCUGGGCCGCACGCGUGCUACACUGAGUGGAUCAGCGGGUCAGGUUGCGCGAAAGUGUUUCCUAAUCUUGAAAUCCGCUCGUGAUGGGGAUUGACGGUUGCAAUUUUCCGUCAUGAACGAGGAAUACCUUGUAAGCGCGGGUCAUCAUCCCGCGCUGAAUACGUCCCUGCCCUUUGUACACACCGCCCGUCGCUCCUACCGAUUGAGUGGUCCGGUGAGGGUUUGGGAUCUGAGCGGAAAGAGCGUUUCGCUGUUUCUGCUCGGAAAACUCAGUCGAACCUUAUCAUUUAGAGGAAGGAGAAGUCGUAACA
RNAcentral lists this ribosomal RNA (322 nucleotides) under uncultured eukaryote. RNAcentral describes it as "partial 18S ribosomal RNA". It matches the Rfam family "Eukaryotic small subunit ribosomal RNA", at positions 1470 to 1796 of the family's 1831-position model. The record is from RNAcentral.